RNAcentral lists this ribosomal RNA (208 nucleotides) under uncultured bacterium. RNAcentral's name for it is "partial 16S ribosomal RNA". It matches the Rfam family "Bacterial small subunit ribosomal RNA", at positions 568 to 774 of the family's 1533-position model. The record is from RNAcentral.
CUCGUAGGUGGCCAACUAAGUCAGACGUGAAAUCCCUCGGCUUAACCGGGGAACUGCGUCUGAUACUGGAUGGCUUGAGUUUGGGAGAGGGAUGCGGAAUUCCAGGUGUAGCGGUGAAAUGCGUAGAUAUCUGGAGGAACACCGGUGGCGAAGGCGGCACCCUGGACCAACACUGACACUGAGGAGCGAAAGCCAGGGGGAGCAAACG